GAUGAACGCUAGCGGGAGGCUUAACACAUGCAAGUCGAGGGGCAGCAUAGGGUAGCAAUACUCUGAUGGCGACCGGCAAACGGGUGAGUAACGCGUAUGCAACCUACCCUGUACAGGGGGAUAACCCGGAGAAAUUCGGACUAAUAUCCCGUAAUAAUAUCCGGAGGCAUCUUUGGAUAUUUAAAGUUCCGACGGUACGGGAUGGGCAUGCGUAACAUUAGCUGGUUGGUAAGGUAACGGCUUACCAAGGCUAUGAUGUUUAGGGGUCCUGAGAGGGUGGUCCCCCACACUGGUACUGAGACACGGACCAGACUCCUACGGGAGGCAGCAGUGAGGAAUAUUGGUCAAUGGGCGCAAGCCUGAACUAGCCAUCCCGCGUGCAGGAAGACGGCCCUAUGGGUUGUAAACUGCUUUUCCAGGGAGAGAAACUUACGCACGUGUUGCGUGACUGACGGUACCCUGGGAAUAAGCAUCGGCUAACUCCGUG
Molecule: ribosomal RNA, 487 nt
Filed under: uncultured bacterium
Lineage: Bacteria
Description: bacterial SSU rRNA
Rfam family: Bacterial small subunit ribosomal RNA
Source: RNAcentral